This 253-nucleotide ribosomal RNA is filed under the name uncultured bacterium. RNAcentral describes it as "partial 16S ribosomal RNA". It matches the Rfam family "Bacterial small subunit ribosomal RNA", at positions 524 to 776 of the family's 1533-position model. The record is from RNAcentral.
UACAGAGGGUGCAAGCGUUAAUCGGAAUUACUGGGCGUAAAGCGUGUGUAGGUGGUUUGCUAAGUCAGGUGUGAAAUCCCUGGGCUCAACCUAGGAAUUGCAUUUGAUACUGGCAGACUAGAGUGCGGUAGAGGAUGGUGGAAUUCCCGGUGUAGCGGUGAAAUGCGUAGAUAUCGGGAGGAACAUCAGUGGCGAAGGCGGCCAUCUGGACUGACACUGACACUGAGACACGAAAGCGUGGGGAGCAAACAGG